This 505-nucleotide ribosomal RNA is filed under the name uncultured bacterium. RNAcentral describes it as "partial 16S ribosomal RNA". It matches the Rfam family "Bacterial small subunit ribosomal RNA", at positions 28 to 507 of the family's 1533-position model. The record is from RNAcentral.
GACGAACGCUGGCGGCGUGCCUAAUACAUGCAAGUAGAACGCACAGUUUAUACCGUAGCUUGCUACACCAUAGACUGUGAGUUGCGAACGGGUGAGUAACGCGUAGGUAACCUGCCUGGUAGCGGGGGAUAACUAUUGGAAACGAUAGCUAAUACCGCAUAAUAUUGAUUAUUGCAUGAUAAUUGAUUGAAAGAUGCUAUUGCAUCACUACCAGAUGGACCUGCGUUGUAUUAGCUAGUAGGUGAGGUAACGGCUCACCUAGGCGACGAUACAUAGCCGACCUGAGAGGGCGAUCGGCCACACUGGGACUGAGACACGGCCCAGACUCCUACGGGAGGCAGCAGUAGGGAAUCUUCGGCAAUGGACGAAAGUCUGACCGAGCAACGCCGCGUGAGUGAAGAAGGUUUUCGGAUCGUAAAGCUCUGUUGUAAGAGAAGAACGGGUGUGAGAGUGGAAAGUUCACACUGUGACGGUAUCUUACCAGAAAGGGACGGCUAACUACGUG